Molecule: unclassified non-coding RNA, 541 nt
Filed under: Hevea brasiliensis (rubber tree)
Lineage: Eukaryota; Viridiplantae; Streptophyta; Magnoliopsida; Malpighiales; Euphorbiaceae
Source: RNAcentral
UGUAACUUUGUUGUUUGUACUGUGUGCAAACUUUUUCAAAACAUGAUUGCAUAUUAACAACGCCCGGUAAAGUCCUUUGAGAGAAAUAUUAUUGAGAAUAAUUUGAGUUCAUUUCUUUGAAAUCACAUAUAAAAUCAUUAUGCCUGCAGGCUGCAAACUUGUAACAAGAACUGCUAUACUACUUACAUCCAGUACUUUUGUUGCACGUUAUUUUUUUUCACUAAUAGUUAACUGGUUAUUAUUCAAAACCAGUCUUUCAAUAAACUGCAAUUCCAAAAACCCAACCCUCCAAUAAUGCUGUUCACUUAACUUAUACCUGACAAGUGUCAGAUCCACAAUCUUAUCUCCGUCGUUAUGCUUCUUCAGUGAGUUGCAAUUUAUUACUCCCAUGGCACAAAAUAAACUUCUGGAAUGCAUGAAUGGCGAACAUCACAGUGAAAAGUAGAAAAUACUAGUCAGGGAGCCAACCGCACAAUUUUCCAUGCUUGUUUCCCACGGAUCUCUUGAGGAACAUAUUGCAACCUGUCAUGCAAGCGAGACU